UUUCCACUAUGCAGCAAGCGAGCCAGCGAGACCACAGUCUGGGUCAACACCUUCAAGGUGUUGCUGGAUGAGUUCAAGAACGGCGUACAAGCCCACGGACGGCACCAUCGGCAAGGUUCCCAAACCAGAACGCAAGAAGAGGAGGAAAAGGGAAAGCGAUAUUGAUACAGUCUCAUCCAGAAACAAUUAUCAUCGAACACAGUAUUUAUUUUGUUCUUGUCUCCUGCAGUACAUGUUGUGAGAGAUGUCAGAUGAACGGUGCUUGUGUGUGUUUGGCAGGUGGAGGAGCAUAACGGGCACAUGUUUAGGCCCGCCCAGUACAGCAUCCCCACCUACUGCGAGUACUGCUCGUCUCUCAUCUGGAUGAUGGACCGCGCCUGUGUCUGCAAACUACAUGCUACAUGUCUCCCCAGCCUGCCUGCCUGCCUGCCUGCCUGCCUGCCUGUCUGUCUGCCUGCCUGCAGCUCUGAUAUCAACCGUAGCUCGCCUUCCUGGUUUUUGACUGACUGGCGGGCGAAUGGCAGAUGAUUUUACAGCUGGUAAAGAGGUUAGAACCGGCUCUGCGGAGUCUGUGUAUCUUCUCCUUCCUCCAGUGUGUCGCAACCGCGUGCCACAGGAAAUGUUGCUCCAGGAUGACCAGUCAGUGUAGUAAAAAAAAAAAAGUAGGAGGGACCUUUUUGUUGGAUACAGAUAAACGUUAUCACUGUUAAUAAAUGUAACAUAUUCAUAGUGUAUAGACAACAUUUUAUACCUUGGACCGCAAUCUCAAUGGCUGUCAGUGUGUACGUGUGUGUGUACGUGUGUCUGUGUGUGUGUGUGUGUGUUUAGUGCGACCCAGAGCUGUCUUCCAGGCAGUUUGGAGUGGAGCUGUCUCGUCUGACCAGCGAGGAGAGGACAGUACCUCUAGUGGUGCAGAAGCUCAUCAACUACGUCGAGAUGCACGGCCUGUAUACAGAGGGCAUCUUCAGGAAGUCUGGCUCUACCAAUAAGAUCAAGGAGCUCCGGCAAGGCCUGGACGCGGGCAUGGUUAAGGGGUUAACAGGGUUCUCAGCCCGCCAUGUUUAUUUGUGGGAUUAUUAAAGGUUGGGCGCCCUGACCUCCUCCCCCUUUCUGUGUCAGAUGUGAACAGCAUGAAUCUGGACGACUACAAUAUCCACGUCAUCGCUAGCGUGCUCAAACAGGGGCUACGCGACCUCCCCAACUCCUGAUGACCUUUGAACUCUACGAGGAGUUCCUGAGAGCCUUGGGUAAGGACAGCCAUCCUGACUGACUGGAUCCUGGCUUUUCAAGUACCGCGGAACUGGCUAUUUGUAGGUGUAACAAGAAUGGAUAGCUUUGACAGAUCUAGCCAGGGUGGCUUUUUGCAUGGCGUCAGCACGUUCUUUAGCAAGCUGACCUGCCCUUCAGUGUUUGUCUUCAGCAGAAACCUUGAGAGUGUGUGUGUGUCGGCAGCGGCCUGUUGCUGAAGUAUUCUGAAUGGUUGCUCCUCUGCAGGCCAGGCAGACAGGCGGGACGAGU
This is a long non-coding RNA of Hypomesus transpacificus, 1518 nucleotides long. RefSeq lists it as uncharacterized. The record is from RefSeq and is a predicted model, not a curated record. The transcript is spliced from 3 exons. NCBI's taxonomy places the organism in Eukaryota, Metazoa, Chordata, Actinopteri, Osmeriformes, Osmeridae.